Molecule: ribosomal RNA, 906 nt
Filed under: uncultured bacterium
Lineage: Bacteria
Description: bacterial SSU rRNA
Rfam family: Bacterial small subunit ribosomal RNA
Source: RNAcentral
AGUUGUAUCCUGGCUCAGGAUGAACGCUAGCGGUAUGCCUAACACAUGCAAGUCGUACGAGGGUUUCAUACCCAAGUGGCGGACGGGUGAGUAACACGUGAGAAUUUGCCCUAAGGAGGGGGAUAACAACUGGAAACGGUUGCUAAAACCCCAUAUGCUUCCGAGUGAAAUAGAUUUAUCUGCCUUAGGAGAAGCUCGCGGCUGAUUAGCUAGUUGGUAAGGUAAUGGCUUACCAAGGCGACGAUCAGUAUCUGGUUUGAGAGGACGAUCAGACACACUGGAACUGAGACACGGUCCAGACUCCUACGGGAGGCAGCAGUGGGGAAUUUUCCGCAAUGGGCGAAAGCCUGACGGAGCAAUACCGCGUGAAGGAAGACGGCCUAUGGGUUGUAAACUUCUUUUUUCAGGGAGGAACUCAAUGACGUGUACCUGAAGAAUAAGCAUCGGCUAACUCCGUGCCAGCAGCCGCGGUAAGACGGAGGAUGCAAGUGUUAUCCGGAAUCACUGGGCGUAAAGCGUCUGUAGGUGGUUUAAUAAGUCGACUGUUAAAUCUUGAGGCUUAACCUCAAAAUCGCAUUCGAAACUAUUAGACUUGAGUAUAGUAGAGGUAAAGGGAAUUUCCAGUGGAGCGGUGAAAUGCGUAGAUAUUGGAAAGAACACCGAUGGCGAAGGCACUUUACUGGGCUAUUACUGACACUCAGAGACGAAAGCUAGGGUAGCAAAUGGGAUUAGAUACCCCAGUAGUCCUAGCCGUAAACAAUGGNAUACUAGAUGUUGGACAGAUCGACCUGUGCAGUAUCAAAGCUAACGCGUUAAGUAUCCCGCCUGGGAAGUAUGCUCGCANGAGUGAAACUCAAAGGAAUUGACNGGGGGCCCCCCACAAGCGGUGGAGCAUGUGGUUUAAUU